GGGCGCGGGGCGCGGGCGGCAGCCCGAGGAGCCGGUCUCUUACCUGCUGCCCGCUUGGGUGCCUGCUGUUUCCGCCUGGGCAUCGCUCUACUUUCCUCCAGUCCCACUUCUGGCGCCCCAGCCCCGAGCCGCGCGCGGGGCCCGCUGUCUCUCGCCUCGCCGGGUGUCCUCCGUCUCUCGCCCGGCGGCUCCCAGGACGUCACUCGGCCUCUGCCCCCCGACGAUCCCCCCCCGCAACUCCGCCGCCGCGGGCCGGAGACCCCUCUCGGGGCGCAGACGCGGGGCCGGAGCCUGCGGCGGCGAGUGGAGGUGGUCUCUGCCUUGUUUGUUUGUUUGGGGUUUUGUUUUUUCCUCCCUCUGUUUUUGUUUUUGCUUUUGGAUGUAUAUAUUUUUUGUUUUUGCUUUUUUUUUGUGGUGACUGGUGAGACACUUGAUUUCUUUAUUAAACAUCCAAGACCGGGUUCAGAUGGGAGGACGAGGGGCGCACACGCGCCGCACGCACGCGCGUAAAGAUAAGGAAGAAAAAAGCAAUCCUGGGAAGCGAGGCGGGUUUCUUCUUUCUCUCCUUCCUCCUCCUUCUGCUCUUUCCCUCCUGCUCCUGCACUUCCUCCUCCUCCUCCUCCUCCUCCUCUGCUCUUCCUCCUCCUCCUCCUCCCUCCUACUCCUCCUCCUCCUCCUCCUGCUGCUGCUGCUGGGGCUCGGCUCUGGCUCGAUGGCGGCGCCCCGAGAUCCCUGCGGCCGGGGCCGGCUGUGGCUGUCGUCAGAUCCCCGUCUGGCCAGGGUUGAGCCCAGGGCUCUGUGCAUGCUGGGUAGGCAUGCCAACUCCUGAGCUGAUUCGUGGGUCACCUAGAAAAGAAAUCCAAUAAUAAUAACAACAUUAAUUGCAGCUGUCACAUAUUGAACACAGACAAAGUGCCAGACACUGUGCUAAAUGCCUGACAUGCAAAAUCUAUUGACUCCAAUCCAUAUAACAACCUUAUAAAGCAAGGUAUUAUUACUUGCAUUUGCUAUGUAAAGAAGCUCAGAUUGGAGGGUUUGUCAGUGGUUUUCAAACUUGAGUGCACAAGAAGCUGAGUACUCUCCCAGAAUUUCUGACUCAGUAGGUCUGGGCUGGGGCCCCAGGAUUUCCAUUUUCACAAGUCCCCAGGUGCUGCUACUGCUGACCUGAGGGCCACGUGGGAGAAACAUCAAUUCAAGUUGGCACAAUGAGUAAGUGAGAGAAUGAGUUUCCAAAAUUAAAAAUCUGACUUGGAAAUAUACUCUUAGAAAUCUAUAUUCCUUCAAAUUUUCUAACAUUAAACUUUUGAAUUAAUAGCUGGUUGCUGCAUUCACAAAGCACAGUAGCUUGGAUGGCUGCUUAUUUGUAUUAAAUGUUCUUUUCCAUGAAGUUCUUCAUGGCACAAAACAGUUGGUGAUACCUUCAAAGGGGAGGAUUUCAGGGACAUUUGCAGAAGGAGCAUAAAGUGCUUAAGUCACCUCUACUUGGCCAUGCUUGAGAUCAGCAGCCCUGAUGGCGUAAAGGAUUUGCUAGGGCUGUGACCCACUUCCAGCUGCAAGAUUCAUCAGAGCUUCCAAGAUGGAGCCCAGCUGAGCAAGCCACACCUGGCUACCAUCUGUGCCUGAGAGGCAUGGUGUUACCUGGGUUCCCAACCAGGAAGAGCUCUCAACAAGUACCCAACUUGGGCAUCAGAGGGCUCUGGAUCCAUUGAAUAUUGCUCAGCCACCAUGAGUUGAGUAGCUUUCCUCUAUCACACCUUUCCCCCAUGAUAUUUCUGCUGUACCACAGGCCUAAAAGCAAUGGAAGCAACUAACCAUGGACUGAACUUCUGAAACCAUGAGCCAAAACAAAUCUUUGUUCUUAUAAAUUGAUUUUAUCAGGUAUUUUUUUCAGAGCAAUAAAAUGAUAAUACAACCAUAAUAAAUACACUUUGGCUACAAAGAAAAGAAAACUAAGUCACACUGAUCUAAGGAUAAAAUGGAAAAAUUUUGGCAGUACAUAACCCAGAAGUCCUGCAGUUGAUAGUUUUAAUAGGCACUGUUACUUUUCCUUUCAGCACUCACUCCAUUGAUGCUUUCUGACAAAGCUCAGAUUUUCUGGGGUAUCUAACUCUUUCUCAUUUGACUUCUGUACCUCUGGGCAAGCAGGCCCUCCCACUAGCUCAUGGCUAAGCCAAUCAGCAGUCUUCGUUUCCCCCAUUGAUCACAGUGAUUGGUUCUUGAGAAGACAAAGGUCCAAAAAAAGUAGAAUAUCAGAAAUUCCACCUGAGUGCUUUCUUUUGCUGAACGUGAAGGGGCAAAAUCAUUGCUGGCAGCUAUCUUAUAACCAAGAAGAGGAGGAAGCUGCCUUAGAGUGAAGUAAAAAAGAGAUGAAGAGUAAAAACAAGAACAAAAAUUAAAACCCAAGAUCUGGAUGACACCAUUGAUCCAGUGAAUAAACAUUCUGGAGUCAAUCUGCCCACGUCUAGACUUAUUGUUAAAUGAGUCAAAAACAAUUUUCCUUAUGACUUAGAGGCAUUGAGUUGGGCUUUCUGUUAUUUUAAAUAGGAGGAUAAAAUAUCUAGCUCAGUCACAGUUAUAACCAGAUGCUCGCUCAUCAUGGGCCUCUACUUUUCUUCAUGUGGGCUUCACUCAGCCUGGCUUACCCACAGUGUCCACGGGCAGCCUCGUCCCCAGCAGCAAUGCCAGGCCUUCAGACCUCCUGGCUGUGUUACUCUGGGUCUGUAUCAGUCUUUGAACCAAGCACUGAGGUUGGGGAAUGGAAAACCACCAAUCUGGGAUGGAUGCCCUCUCCUGGGACCAGGGCUGCAGCCUAAUGCAUUUACAUCACAAUGUUUGAGAAAGUUGAUUCUUCAUAUUAGGGAAUUGUUACUAGAAACUUGGGACAUGGAUGUUGGACCAUCAGAAAGCAUGAAGAUUUGCCGUAAUAUUUAAUUUUCUAUUUGGACAUCUUACAUGUCCCACUACAAAAGGAAAAGUUAAGGUGAAGUGAUUGCUCCCAACAGUUUUAUCACCAAAGACCACCUCUCUUGCCAUUCCCUGUUGCCCACUGCUGCCACCAAAUUAAACUAACUUAGGAAAUAUUUUGUCUGUAAUUCACCUAUGCACCCAUCACUACUUUCACGCACUAGUUGUGGAGUAUCCAUUAGCUUCCAGUCUUGUUCUGUUCCAUGGGAGCACAGCAAUGACAAAUGUUGGAAGAAAUGUGAUCACUCUGAUCAAUGACAAAAGAAUUCAGGAGUUUGCUGGAGGUUUUCAUUCAGUGUUAAAAAGCUGUAGCUGUAGUAGAAAACCCUUCAUGCUCAUGGUCUUUCUAUUCUGCUUGGAAAGUAGGUAUGAGAAUGGGAUGUCUGGAGCAGAGGCAGAAGAUGUGAAGCCAGGAAGUGACGUGGAUGAGGAGGAAUUGGCAGGUUGAGCCUAGUGGGACAAAAAGAACAGUGAAGGUCUGGAGCCAUGAUGGUCAGCACAAACUCUAGGUCAGUGGGGAACCUAGACUCAUACUCACCCACGUUUCUCAUUAGGUGACAGAGCCUAGGUCUUCAUUGCUCAAGGCACAGCAAGAGUAUUCUGUCACAAAGAGUCAAAUGCUUUCCUGAUUGCUACAGUCAGAUCCAGGAGAGGUCCCUGAGCAGCUUGUGAUCUGAAGUUCUGUAGUGAACUGAUAAUUACGAACAUCACCAGCGUCCAUCCUGAAAAGAAAGCACUGGAGCUUAUAUCAGGGGACCUAAUCAUUCAAAGAAACUACAGGUAUGCAACAAGCAAUAAUAUUUCUUUAGUAGUUUAGAGAAUUAGGUGAGAGAUCCACAUAGUAAAUAUUUUCCUGUUGCAGCCCAUAUUGGCCUCUGUUGCAUCUACCCAGCUCUGCUGAGUGCAGUGGAAAAGAAGACAUAGACCAUAUGUAAAUGAACAGGCAUGGUAGUGUUCCAAUAAAACUUUAUUUACAAAAACAGGCAGUUGGCUGGAUUGGCCAGUAGUUUGCUGACUCCCAAAUUAGCCACUCACAAUUGAGUGUGCAAUAAAGACAGCAAUGAAGGAGACUGUGUGCCCCUUAUUAAAACACAGAAAACCAGUCAUAGUCCUGCACUGCGAAUUUUCCAAUGCCAGGUCCUUACGUGCACACACUCUGUAACUCCCUGAUGCAUCUAUCUCCUGCCUUCCUGUUCUCCCACAGCUAUGGAGGAUGAGAUGGGUCAGGUAGGCAUAGAAGCACUAAUGGGAGCAGUUGGGAAAGUAUAGAGCAGCCCUCUCUGAUGAAAACAACACACCAUGGUAAUGUGAAUCAGGCAAAGAUACAAAACCAGCCCUGGAUGAUUUUUGCUAGAAUUUUUGUGACCCACGUACACUGCGUUUGUCAUCAGCUCAAAGACAGCAGUUGUGGUUAGAAGAAAUCUUCAAACCACGUAAUGUGUGCUGCACUGUGAUUUAUAGGGGGUGUGAUUUAUAUUGUGAAUUUUAAACCUUUUAAUAUACCUCACAAGAAGUUGUACAGUUCAUAAAACAUCACAAGAGGCUUCCAAAGAGAAACCCAAAUGAAGAAAAGAUACAUUUUGCCAUCUGAGUUUUGAAUGGAGCUUCUGCACAGUGCUGAAGCCUGAGCUGAUCAGGUUUGCUUAAUCCUACCUUUCCCUGACAAGAUGAAUAGUUGUAGAACAUAGCACCCUUUUCCGUAUCUCACACCAUGGAUCUAUUAGUAUUGCUAUUUAUUGGAAAGAGGAGAGAGUGCUAAUUUAUACAUACAUUUGUUUUGUAAAAAUUCUACUCCUAUUCUCUGAUUGGUCCAAAUCCCCCAGAAUAUUACGCUUCUGUGAUCUGUAAUGUGGCUGGAAGGGGAAAUGCUAAGUCGUUUAAGAAUUUCAAAUUCCUAUACUGCCACUUGUAGUGAACUGUGUCAUUUACAGAGCCAUGCAGUUUUCCCCCUGCCCAAAAUGUCACAAAAAGAAAAGUGAUUCACAGCAGUUUACACAUGCCAAACACAUUUGUCGAAUAAACAGCACAGAGCAAACUGCAAUUGAAAUACCACCCCGUAAAGAAACACAGUAGUUAAUCUGAUUUUAAUUGAAAUGUUGCAUGUUGAUACCUUUUGUUUAUGCAUGAGACAAAGCUGAUAUAAAGGAGAAUAAUGAUGAUAAUCAUAUUCGAGGCAUUUUGAAGGUUGGGACUUCUGAAGCACUUCAGGAAGAAAAGAAAUACCACAUGUACUCAUGCUAAAGAAAUGUUGCAUUUGGUUUAGAAAAUGCUUCCAAUAUGGUAAUGAAUCAGGUAAAAUUUCCAUUUCAGUGCAGUGCUGAAUUGAGCUACUGUGUGCUUCAGGAGCUAUGUUUGGGCACUCGAUAAUUAAAUAAAAAGCUGAAUUAUUGGAUAUAAUGGACCCCAAUUGUUUUUGGUGCCUAACUUUUAUUCAUCCUCCUCCUUUAAAUAAUACCAUUUAGAAUUUGCUUAGGGAAGUUCAUUUUCUACUGUGCUCAACAAUGCCAUUCUUCGUGGUAUGGCUCCAUAAUUUCUCAGGGAUGAGCUAAAGCUAAUAACCUCCCACACUCUCCUUCUGGCAACCAGGAUUCGACCCAGGGUGGGUAAAACUAUGUCAGAAGCAAGAUCUGUAGGUGUGCUAGCAUUCUAGGUAAAAAGAAGGGUUUCUUUUUUUCUUGAGAACCGCAUAUGGGGGGAGCCAUUUCCUCUGAAGUCUAUGUAAUAUGAAGAUAGGAAGAUUUGAGUAGUGUCCUUAUUACCAG
Molecule: long non-coding RNA, 5726 nt
Organism: Heterocephalus glaber (naked mole-rat)
Lineage: Eukaryota; Metazoa; Chordata; Mammalia; Rodentia; Bathyergidae
Source: Ensembl